RNAcentral lists this ribosomal RNA (253 nucleotides) under uncultured bacterium. Its description in RNAcentral is "partial 16S ribosomal RNA". It matches the Rfam family "Bacterial small subunit ribosomal RNA", at positions 524 to 776 of the family's 1533-position model. The record is from RNAcentral.
UACAGAGGGUGCAAGCGUUAAUCGGAAUUACUGGGCGUAAAGCGUGCGCAGGCGGUUCGUUAAGUCCGAUGUGAAAGCCCCGAGCUUAACUUGGGAAUGGCAUUGGAAACUGGCGGGCUGGAGUGUGGCAGAGGGGGGUGGAAUUCCACGUGUAGCAGUGAAAUGCGUAGAGAUGUGGAGGAACACCGAUGGCGAAGGCAGCCCCCUGGGCCAACACUGACGCUCAGGCACGAAAGCGUGGGGAGCAAACAGG